Dicentrarchus labrax (European seabass) is the source of this 1540-nucleotide long non-coding RNA. RefSeq lists it as uncharacterized. Lineage: Eukaryota; Metazoa; Chordata; Actinopteri; Moronidae. The transcript is spliced from 3 exons. The record is from RefSeq and is a predicted model, not a curated record.
GGCUAAGUGACUUAAGUUCAAUGAAACAAAACAGCAGCUCAGAGGCAGAGUUGGUUGUCCACUAAUCGGAAGGUUGGCGGUUUGAUCCCUGGCUCCUCUUGCUGCAUGUCGAAGUGUCCUUGAGCAAGAUACUGACUCCCUGACAGGUAAAGAGAGACAGGAAAUGGGAGAGAGAAAGAGUACGACACACAGCAAAGGGGGGCGGUUGGAAUUGAACCUGGGCCUCCUCGUCCCUUUUUUUUUAUGGAUUUCCAUUUACCACAGUUAUGAGGAACUGACAUGCUUUUAUACAGACUUUUCUGGGUCAAAUUCGGGCCCGUGGGUGCUGUGGUAACAAAGGAAAUUAGGUGAGUCACAUCUCAAAAUUCCCUUUUUUUAGAAUCAAAUAAAUCGAAACUAUAUGAAAGUGAAAAUAACCAGGAUUCUCUCACUCAGUCUGGUAUAUCAUUCUGUUGUUGAGCUUGUUGGAGUUCAUGUGAAUUAACAAGGAAGUGUUGUCAUUACCGACAGUUUCAGGUCAAGUGCAGUUAGUGAAACAGCCCACAUUUCUCACAAGGCCUAUUGCUGUGUGACUGUUCUGUCCAUACAUAGCAGAUUUACGAUAAAUUAAAACACUUUCCUUAUUCUCCACCUUAUAAUUAACAAUGGCCAAACACAUACUUUUCCUUUUACACUGUUCAUCAGCAGUGUUGGGUAAUAACUGAUUACAUAUAAUCAGGAUUACAUAAACAGAUUACAAAAAAUAAUCAUAAGAAUCAAUUAAUAAUCAACCCAUAUCACACUAGAUUAUAGUUGUUUUCAAGGAUUACCUGAUUACUUUUCACGACAACCAAUGGUCUAACUCAUAAAAAGCACGUCUGAGGCCUCAUCUCUCCUGUACUAGCUACUCUGCAUUGGCUCCCUGUAAAAUGUAGAAUAGAAUUUAAAAUCCUCCUCCUCACCUAUAAAGCUCUUCAUGGUCAGGCCCCUUCAUAUCUUAAAGAGCUCAUAGUACCCUAUUACCCCACUAGAACAUUACGUUCUCUAAAUGCAGGGCUACUUGUGGUUCCUAUAGUCUCUAAAAGUAGAACAGGAGCCAGAGCCUUCAGUUACCAAGCUCCUCUCCUGUGGAACCAGCUUCCAGUUGUGGUUCGGGAGGCAGACACCCUCACCACAUUCAAGAGUAGGCUUAAGACAUUCCUCUUUGAUAAAGUUUAUAGUUAGGGCUGGAUCAGGUGAGUCCUGAACCAUCCCUUAGUUAUGCUGCUAUAGGCCUAGACUAUCGGGGGAUUUCCCAUGGUGCACUGAGCUACUCUCUUCCUCUCUCUUUCUGCACUCAUUCAUGUCCCAUUAAUGCAUGUUACUAACUCCACUUCUUCCCCGGAGUUCUUGUGCUUUCUCGUCUCGCAGGUUCUCAUGGAUCCUGGUGGAGCCUCCUGCCAUGGUCCUGCUUGACUGCCAUUGCCAAUACUGUUGUUGCUGUGCACCUGUCUGUCUGUCUGUCUCUCGCUCUCUCUCUCUCUCUCUCUCUCUCUCUCUCUCUCUCUCUCUCUCUCUCUCU